CCAGUACUCCCUCCGUUCGGAAUUACUUGUUGUAAAAAUGAAUAUAUUUAGAUGUAUUUUAGUUUAGAUACAUUUAUUUUUAUUCAUUUUUACGACAAGUAAUACAGGACGAGGGAAUAUAUG
This is a non-coding RNA of Triticum aestivum (bread wheat), 123 nucleotides long. Lineage: Eukaryota; Viridiplantae; Streptophyta; Magnoliopsida; Poales; Poaceae. The record is from Rfam.